Molecule: long non-coding RNA, 3064 nt
Organism: Apodemus sylvaticus (European woodmouse)
Lineage: Eukaryota; Metazoa; Chordata; Mammalia; Rodentia; Muridae
Exons: 4
Source: RefSeq, a predicted model, not a curated record
GUGGGAUGGUUGAGGAAGGGAGGGAUGGGAAGGGCGAGCCUCAUCUGAGGUGGGAUGUGGGCUCUGUAGUGAGCGCUCUUGCUUGCAAUGCAACAAGGGAUCCAGGAGAGCUGGAGCAGUCUCAGCAACCACAAGUCCACCUGAGAGCCUCCAAUGGCUCGCUGCAUCCAGGGGGCAGGCUCAGUCACAGGGGCGGUGAGUGGCUGGGCUUUUUAUAACUGACUAACGGGCUGUGUUUUUAGAGAGGCCAUUCAUAAAGCUCAGGGAAGUCACCCGACUCCCAUUUAUAAAAUGAAGAUACGUUUCAGUUUGGUUGCUCUCAGCGAGGAGUCACCAUCUUAAACUUCCCAGGAAAUAGAUGCUUUAUGUUUUAACUUUAAUUUUCACCUCUCUUUUUUCCUUCCCUGUCCCCAACUUCCUCCCUUUGCCUUUCUCCCUUCCAUCUUUCAUUUAGAGUACAGUAUCAUCAUACACUACUGUUAAAAAUGCCAGCAUUAGAAUAUUAGGUUAUAAAAUAAAAUUCACACCUCCAGUUCUCAGUAAUUCCAGUUAGUUCCAAAUGGGCGGUUUUAAUAUUGACUAAGAGGAACUAGCGUAUUGAAAUGUACAGCCCACCCCUAUGAAAAUCUCCCGAAUACACUGUGCAUUUCAAAUGUAGCUUGGAGCUUUAUGAUCAAAUCAUUCGAAAGGGCGAAGACAGAAGACGGCCUCUCCACACAUCUGUAGACAAGAGAGGACAGAAGGAGAAGGGUGUGUGACAGAGGACAUCCAAGACAUUCACAGACUGGAAAGUAUGUUUUUAUUCUGAUGCAGAUCAUUAAGUGGCAGGAAAUCCAGAAGGAAAGACUGACACACCGGUGUGGGUCCGUGCCCUGGGUCCGUGCCGUGGCACCUGAAUUCUUACACCCUUAUAAGUGACUCAGCAAAUGUUUGUGUGUACCUGGGUGGUGAAAUGAAUGUAGCAGCUUCUUACAACUUCAUCCAACUCUGCCCUAUCCCAACCUUUUUGAUUGACAGCAGGUCAGAAAUGGGAGAGACAAGACCUUGAAAUCAUAUGCAGAAGAAAGGUGUUGUUUGGCUUCUAAGCAGGGGUUUAGUUAGCAAGUGACUUCAAGAGAACAUGUCUACCCCAACCAACCCUCCCAGUAGAGGAGGAAUUCACUAUGGUGGCCACUUAAGACAAAUGUGCUGCUUCUUAUCCACCGAUGAACCAAUGCAGCCCAACCAAGAAAGAGGAAUUAAGAUGAGGCCUGGGAUCCCAGAGGCUCACACCAGGAUGUACGCUGCUGUGAUGUCAGCUUUAUCCCAGGUUGGAAAGAAAGUGUGAGAGGAACAGAGGCCACACAGAUGACUGCUGGAACAGCAAGCCGAGACCUCACAUCAGGAGCUACGUGCAGGAAGCAGAGAGAAGAAAUCUGGAAUGGAGUAUGGCAUUUGAAACCCAAAACUCACACCUAGUGACAUUCUUCCUCCAGCAAGGUCGCAUCUCCUAAGCAUUCCCAAGCAUUGUUCCCAACUGGGGACCAAGAAGCCAAACAGCUGAGCCUGUGGGGGACAUUCUGAUUCAAACCGCUGUGCAUCAAGGUGAAAAUCUAUUUGGCCACAUUAGGAUGAGAAGCCAGAAAAGGUUACAUUUACGUAAUUCUUGGCAGAAAGGCAGUCCUGAACAUUUUAUCCUAUUAUUAUUUUCCUUGACAUUGUUUAUAUUUUACUGCUGUGUAGAUUUAUCAUGGUAAGUUGUUUCUUUUUAUAUUUUUAAAUUUAUCUCUUCCCCUAUUGCCCCCGUGCCCCGUACAAGUUUUGCACUGUAGCUCAGGCUGACCUCAAUCAUGAGAUCCUCCUGUUUUAGCUUCUCAAUUAAGAUAAAAGCAUGCAUCGCCACACCCAGCUUUCUUUGGCUGCCUUCUGAUUUAGUCAUCUAAUAUCAUCCAGGCUAUUUAUUACCCUUAUUAUGACAAAUAGCAAUAUAAGCCAUAUAGAACCCAAUAUUAACAGUGUUAAAUAAACACAGGUCACUUUCCUUCAUAAGAUAUGAUUUUUCAUCUUUGUUUUUGCAUUAAAGGCAAGUCAUCUCUAAGGAGGAAGAUGGAGAAAGGACAACCUUAGGGGUAGAGACAAGAGAAGCUAAUUCAAAAGAGUCUCAGUCCUCAGGUUUAGCACCGGAAAAGGAAUUAAAUUCAUUAUUUGCUAAGUUCUGAGAGCAUCUCACGCGCUCUUUCACGCGCUCUUCUGUCCCCACUUGCUUCCAUGCAGCAGGAAUGUACUGGACAGGGUUAGAAAUGGCUGCUUCUCUGGGUUUUUUAUGGUUUAGACUGAAUGCAAUGUGCCAGAGUUCUUUAAAAUAAUCUCUUCAUGAGUUUCCAGGCCUUAGAGCAGACUCAGAAAGAGCAGACUCAGAAAGUGGAGAAAUUUCUCAGUAGUUUGUCCAACUCUGUAUUAUAUACUGACUUUUAACAGUUCUGCUCAUAGUUAAGUGACGAAACAACCUCUAAUUUCAGGUCAAUCCCUAGCCCUUCCUAGCCCUUCAUCCAAAUCUGCUUAAAGCAAACACUGGACUAUUUCGUGGGGUCACCUGAUACCCACUUUCUUCCUCAGUUCUUGGAAUAAUAUCAGUCACACUUUAAGAUCUGACAUUUCAGACAGUUGAGCUGAAUAACAGGAUGAACGAGCAAGCCUUACCGGGGGAUUUAUAAAGACACGUUGACAGAGCUUGGCCGCUCAUGGUGCUGGUGAGGACCAUGCUCAUAAUGAUGGUUUCCUUGAACUCUUCCGGAAGGUGUUCCAAACAGAGGAAUUUGUAGUUUUUCCUUUGGUCCAAGAUCAAAAACAUGAACAAUUUUAAGGUUGGAGAGCAUCUGGUCCACAAUUUCAGUGGGAAAGCAACCCACCCUUUCUCAGUCGUAUUAAAAACCACCAUCUUGGCUUCCGUCUGUACCAUUACAGGCACUUGCAAUGAAUGCCUCUUAUCUUCAGUGAGGAAGUUGGAGACGGUUGCUUGCGCCUCCUUUUCUUUUUACUUUUUUUUUUUUUUAAAACCUUUAUUUACUAGAUAAUUUGUAGUUCA